CCUACGGGAGGCAGCAGUGAGGAAUAUUGGUCAAUGGCCGAGAGGCUGAACCAGCCAAGUCGCGUGAGGGAAGACGGCCCUACGGGUUGUAAACCUCUUUUGUCGGGGAGCAAAGCGAGUCACGUGUGACAUAUUGAGAGUCCCCGAAGAAAAAACAUCGGCUAACUCGGUGCCAGCAGCCGCGGUAAUACGGAGGAUGCGAGCGUUAUGCGGAUUUAUUGGGUUUAAAGGGUGCGCAGGCGGAGGUGCAAGUCAGCGGUAAAAUUGGGGGGCUCAACCCCGUACUGCCGUUGAAACUGCAUCUCUUGAGUGCGCGAGAGGUAUGCGGAAUGCGUGGUGUAGCGGUGAAAUGCAUAGAGAUCACGCAGAACUCCGAUUGCGAAGGCAGCAUACCGGCGCGCAACUGACGCUCAUGCGCGAAAGCGUGGGUAUCGAACAGGAUUAGAUACCCCUGUAGUC
This 459-nucleotide ribosomal RNA is filed under the name uncultured bacterium. RNAcentral's name for it is "partial 16S ribosomal RNA". It matches the Rfam family "Bacterial small subunit ribosomal RNA", at positions 338 to 795 of the family's 1533-position model. The record is from RNAcentral.